AUGAAGACAUCCAUGGGAGCUUUAUUCAUGUUCUCAUGGCUACAGCUGAACUGGUUCAGCCUGGGAGAGAAUGUGGAGCAGCAUCCUCCUACCCUGAGUGUCCAGGAGGGAAGCAUCUCUGUUAUCAACUACAGUUAUUCAGACAAUACCUCAGACUACUUCCUCUGGUAUAAGCAAGAACUUGGAAAAGGUCCCCAGCUCCUUAUAGACCUUCAUUCAAGUGUGGCCACAAAAGAACAAAGAGUCACAGUCUCAUUGAAUAGGACGGCCAAACACCUCUCCCUGUCCAACAGAGACACCCAGCCUGAAGACUCAGCUGUGUACUUCUGUGCAGCAAGCACACAUUGCUUCCCAGGCACCUGUUGCCUCCACUCCAACCUGAAACUGGGGCAUCCCCUGUCCUUUGACAUAGACAAACAAAUUAUGUUUUGUGCUGUUGUUUAUCCACAAGUGGAAGCUAACAUAUUAGACAUUAAAAGCAUAUAA
Molecule: non-coding RNA, 486 nt
Organism: Neogale vison (American mink)
Lineage: Eukaryota; Metazoa; Chordata; Mammalia; Carnivora; Mustelidae
Source: the annotation of a RefSeq genome assembly